RNAcentral lists this ribosomal RNA (364 nucleotides) under Streptomyces carpaticus. RNAcentral describes it as "bacterial SSU rRNA". It matches the Rfam family "Bacterial small subunit ribosomal RNA", at positions 100 to 498 of the family's 1533-position model. The record is from RNAcentral. Lineage: Bacteria; Bacillati; Actinomycetota; Actinomycetes; Kitasatosporales; Streptomycetaceae.
GAACGGGUGAGUAACGUGGGCAAUCUGCCCUGCACUCUGGGAUAACCCGGGAAACUGGUAAUACCGGAUACGACACUCCGAGGCUUGGUGUGGAAAGUCCGGCGGUGCAGGAUGAGCCCGCGGCCUAUCAGCUUGUUGGUGGGGUAAUGGCCUACCAGGCGACGACGGGUAGCCGGCCUGAGAGGGUGACCGGCCACACUGGGACUGAGACACGGCCCAGACUCCUACGGGAGGCAGCAGUGGGGAAUAUUGCACAAUGGGCGAAAGCCUGAUGCAGCGACGCCGCGUGAGGGAUGACGGCCUUCGGGUUGUAAACCUCUUUCAGCAGGGAAGAAGGACGGUACCUGCAGAAGAAGCACCGGCU